AGCAGCUUGGCGCAGUGGAAGCGCGGUAUGUCUUGACUCCACCUGCAACUCAUCAACAGAGUACUAACUCAUCACAGCCGGGCUCAUAACCCGGAGGUCACUGGAUCGAAACCAGUAGCUGCUA
RNAcentral lists this transfer RNA (124 nucleotides) under Fusarium graminearum. Its description in RNAcentral is "tRNA-iMet (CAT) (tRNA-iMet-CAT-2-1)". Lineage: Eukaryota; Fungi; Ascomycota; Sordariomycetes; Hypocreales; Nectriaceae. The record is from RNAcentral. RNAcentral also lists the same sequence under 1 other name.